Molecule: long non-coding RNA, 127 nt
Organism: Malurus melanocephalus (red-backed fairy wren)
Lineage: Eukaryota; Metazoa; Chordata; Aves; Passeriformes; Maluridae
Exons: 3
Source: RefSeq, a predicted model, not a curated record
AGAGACUAGUAAAAGAAAAGAUGUGAAGCCUCCAGCAGCCAUAAAGGAAAAAGACUCUUCAAAACGGAAAGAAAUUAAGGCUUCAUCUAAUCCUAAGGAAAAAGCUGCAGUGAAAAAGGAGGGGGAG